RNAcentral lists this ribosomal RNA (250 nucleotides) under uncultured bacterium. RNAcentral's name for it is "partial 16S ribosomal RNA". It matches the Rfam family "Bacterial small subunit ribosomal RNA", at positions 524 to 773 of the family's 1533-position model. The record is from RNAcentral.
UACGGAGGGUGCGAGCGUUAAUCGGAAUAACUGGGCGUAAAGGGCACGCAGGCGGCUAUUUAAGUGAGGUGUGAAAUCCCCGGGCUUAACCUGGGAAUUGCAUUUCAGACUGGGUAGCUAGAGUACUUUAGGGAGGGGUAGAAUUCCACGUGUAGCGGUGAAAUGCGUAGAGAUGUGGAGGAAUACCGAAGGCGAAGGCAGCCCCUUGGGAAUGUACUGACGCUCAUGUGCGAAAGCGUGGGGAGCAAAC